GGUGAUUCCAUCGAUUCUCGGCACUUCCUUCCAAUUCGCCAUUAGGGUUUCCACCUCUGGAUGGUGUAAUUGUCGUCGCUCAUGGUCGAAAUUCGGUCGUGCUUUCGUUGCCUGCGUCACUCUUGCACCGCCAGUCACCAUUCUGUGCCCGAUUCGGGAUUCAGUAGAGGGUGAUGCUUUUGGGAGGAGCGGUGAGGUCAGAAAUUUUUCAGAUGGUGGGAAAUUGGCAUUUCGGUGAAGGGAUUGGAUUUUGUUAGGUGACGCCUUGCCUGGCAUGGGGGUUGUGAUGAGGUGCAGAGGUUUGGUCAUUUGGUGUUAAGAGAUUGAGUGUGUCGGAGAAAUUGGAUACGUACAGGUAGCGUUUGUGAGAGCCUCAGAAUACGUACUCUUUUUAGCGGAUGUGAAGGUGGGGACUAUAUAGUGGUUCGGAGAGCGAAAUGCUGCUUCUGAAUUGCUGGAAUUCGACGUGAAUUGCGUUUCAUCCACGGUUUGGUGCAGGAUAUGGAUAGCACACCUUUGUCGCCGCUGGUGGUUGCGCUCAAUUACAAGCUCGACGUUCUCGUGUCGAUUUGGCUGCACCCUCCAGGAGAAGAUUUUCAGUUGUGAAGAAGUUUGUGAAUAGGUCUUUUUUUUUCUUCAUACUGGAAGUACUUGUAUGAAGGAGUCUGCGGCUGCGGAUUUAAUAUACACGGGAGCAAUGAAAACUGCUUAUGAUUACGAUGCUCUGUAUAAUUGGUAUGUCAGUGCAUGCGAAAGAUAUGGGACGAGUCCUCACAGUUCUAUCCUUUCAGUAUUCGACAAGGUUCGAAAUCAGCAUACGAAGGAGGACCGAACCCUUACGAUUCCCUUGGAUCAGAUUCCGAAUAAUGACAUCGAGCCUCUUAUGGAGAUGUUGUCAGCAGUCGAAACUUCAGACCUAGACGCAAUUGAUAUCGUGUAUAGCAACUCAGUGUCAAAUCUGAGAUGGUCACGGGUGGUUCACGUCAUGCGAGCUGCUGGCUCCAAGCUCCGAAAUGCAGACCUAAGAGACAAUGUUUUUGGACGCGAAGCUGUUAGGGAGCUUUUUCAUGGUGGAAUCAACUGUCAGAGUAUGGAUGUUAGUUUCUCACGCAUUCGCAAAAUGGAAAUGUCAGGACAUUUUCCCAACUUACAUACCUUGAACCUUGACUACUGCUUCUCAGUGACCUGCUUACCUGAAGGGUGCUUUGGUGCUAUGCCUAAGCUGGCAAAGCUCUCUAUGUGUGGCACCAGCGUCAUGAACUUGUGGACAACUAGUGUCGCUUUACGUAAGCUUGUAGCUUUGAGAGAGCUCCGAUUCCAAAAGUGUCUGUGUUGUCAAGGCACAGGUCAGUGUGCAGCUCUAGCAGCUUGUCCGCAAAGUGAUGGUAUUGGUGGGCGGAAGGGGCGUUUAUACCAGGGUGGUGCGGAGAGGAAUCAGCCCAGGCAGUGGGUACCUCCACCCGACAGGAGUGGAGAAGCUUACGAAUCGUCUGGUUCUGUUCUUUCCGACCUUUCAGGAAGUGAGGAUGAUUCAGAUCACCUAUUUAGAUAUCCAGAGUCAGAUGAUAAUCAGGGAUCUGGCAACUCGAGUGUGGAAUCAGCUGAAGACAGUGAUACUGAGCAGGCUGCACCAAGGGAAAGCCAGGUCAUGGAUGUUGUAAGAGGUGAUGAUCCAGCCUACCCUACUCUUAUGCGAGGAAGUGGUGAGGAUCAAGGCGACCCAGAGAGUGAACACACCAUUGUAGAUGAAGAGCUUCCGUUAGUCGCUGAGCAACUUGUAGCAUCAAACCAAGAGGCUCACGAGGAAGAUCACGUCAGAGAUGGGAUAUCGGAUCUUCUUGACUUGGUCGAUUCUUGCACACUGCCUGACUCAAGGGCCCCAUUUGGUGGAAUUCUGUCUAAUACUUCUAUUAGUGAAGGAUUAUGUCAGUUGGAAACUGAUGAUGCUGAAAUAUCAAUGUUAGAGGCUCUCGAGAGGGUUGUUGCUCGAAAGACUCACCUCAGUAUUAGAGGAUCAGCUAGCCAGAUUGAAGAGUCUAAUCAGGAAAUCACUUUAAGACGAAGUGAAGGCAGUGGUGAACGAGCUAGCGAGCGGGAGGCAGAAAGAGCAGAAGACAAUGGAGACGGGCCCUAUCCGAUGGCGAUUCCAGGAUCAAAUGCUUGGCCCGGUGCUCGUCCCGCAUCACCUAUAUGCUACGAAAAGAACUACCGGGAAUUUUUGAUCAAUAUGCUUCCAGGUCUUCAAGUACUGGACAACAUGGCUAUAACCGAGAAUGAAAGGGAAAAAGCUCGUUAUGUGUAUGAACAGCGAUUUGAACCUGUAGCAAAUAAUCGAAGGGUAAUGGAGAAUUUACUUCAGGUCAUCAAUCGACGAGAAGUGGGUGGUUUUGGUAUUAGAGCUGGUCGUGGUAGUAAGUUAAUUCACGUAAAUAAUGAGAGGAGUUCCGAUGCAUAUACCCGCUCUCUUUCCGCUGCCAAACUCGGAUCUAAUGCAUGGCCUACGAUGAAGACCAUCUGUCGGUUUAAGAAACCAAGUUUAGAUGGUGGUAGACGAUGUCGACCUCGCCAGUUUGAGUAUCAUCCUACAGAGCCAAGUUACAUGGUUUUUGGAACACUUCAAGGAGAGGUGGUGGUUAUCAAUCAUGAGAGUGACAAGGUCGUGGGAUACGUACAAUCCAUUGGUGCUCCACACAGUAUUCUUGGGCUCUGUUGGUUGAACAAGGAUCCAAACAAGCUGAUUGCUGGAUCAGACAAUGGAUGCAUUCAACUUUAUGAUGUUAACCACAUGCGAGCCUCUGAGAUUUCGUCUGAGAGACGCGUUUCCAGUAUAUAUCAACACCAAAGUAAUGGACGUUGGGGUCGGCAAUCUAACUCUGGGAACAUUGGCGGUAGAAAUGGGAGGAGUCCCACAAUUUACACUUACGAUGAUUUUGAGCAGUUAACGUCUGUUCACAUAAACUCAAGUGAUGACUAUUUUGUGGCAAGUGGAUAUUCCAAUCAUGUUGGUCUUUACGAUCUUCGCACUGGCACGCGAAUGCAAAUCUUUCGUGAUCUGCAUAAAGAGCAUAUCAACGUGGUGAAGUUUGCAAACCAUUCACCCCAAAUAUUUGCGACUUCGUCAUUCGACAAGGAGAUUAAGAUGUGGGAUUUAAGACAGAGAAUCAUGCAGCCUAUCUACACUGUUAGAAGUAAUCGAGGCAAUGUAAUGGUUUGUUUUUCACGCGACGACCACUACCUUCUUUCAUCAGCUGUUGAUAAUGAGGUAAGGCAACAUCUCGCAGUGGAUGGUAGACUCCACAUGAAGUUUGACAUUACUCCAAUGGGCAGUAGUCAAAAUUACACUCGCUCUUAUUAUCUCAAUGGUCGUGACUACAUCAUAAGUGGCAGCUGUGAAGAGAAUGUCGUCCGUGUCUGUUGUGCUCAAACUGGCAGGCGGCUUCGGGAUCUAACAGUGGAGGGCCGAGGUUUGAGAAAUUCCUUGUACGUACAAUCACUACGGGGUGAUCCAUUCAAGGAUUUUCACUUCUGUAUGCUCGUGGCUUACAAUCAUCCCCAUUCAAGAUCAGAGAUUAUCAAGGUAAACUUGCUUGGAGAAGAUCACCAGGGAGAGGAUCAUGAAUUUCAACGUCAAUACAUUCCUCUCACUGGCAUGGGCGCUUGAGGACCAGGUGCACUUGAGUUUGCAUAUUUACAUGGGUUACCUGUCUAUUAUAUUUUCACUGAUCAACCUCUUUGGACGGUGUGACUAGUUACUGAAUGUACAGAAGAUAUGGUUUACAGCAAGUGGUGAUUCUGUAAUUAUAGAGGUUUGCUUCGAAUUAUAUAUAGUGGGAUAUACUGGCGUGUCUUCAACUCGACAUUGAAAUCAGCUGCGCUCUUCGUGGCUUAUGGCUUAUUGUAGAAGGAGCUCAACACAAGGCUCUCUUUCAGGAGAAUUGGAUUUUUUACUGCCGACAUCUGUGGAUCGAUGGGUUUGUCGAGACUAGUUUGUGUGCACACUAGUUCGGGGUUUGUAUAUGAGAAGUUUUUUGUGGGCAACCACCUAGUAUGCUGCAUACUAGUCCUAAUUGGUGUAUUGGAUUUCGAUUUAAUAAAUUGUUGUCGUUAUGGAAC
Molecule: RNA transcript, 4113 nt
Organism: Physcomitrium patens
Lineage: Eukaryota; Viridiplantae; Streptophyta; Bryopsida; Funariales; Funariaceae
Gene name: protein DWD HYPERSENSITIVE TO UV-B 1
Source: RefSeq, a predicted model, not a curated record